GUCAGCAGCAGGAGCUCCCCGCCCCCAGCGCUGGGGGCCACCGCGCCCUUUCCUUCCGACUACUCCCAGCCCGCCCCAGCCGGGACCGCAGAGCGCGGCGGGUUCAGUGUAAUUAAUUUAGAAACCAGGGAGGAUUUUAUCACCAUCUCCGCCGCCUCCGCCGGAGCAGGUUUCGCAGCUGCCUGCGGGCUUUCCUACGACAGCUCCGGGGUAUCGGACUCCGAGGCGCGCCCUCCCCCAGUGGCCGUGCCCGGAGGGAAGGGGCUCCUGGGCUACCCAGGUCCGCUGCAGCGCGGCCAAGCCCCCAGGGACCCCUUCCCUCUCGCCCGCGCGGUCCGUCCUUGGCACUUCUCCGGGGACAGGGGUUGAGGCCCGGGGGCAGCCGGAGGCCUUGGCACGGCCGCAGGAUACUACAGCGCCUUUGCAGAGUCCUUCCCGCCAGAGUCUGAUUCCAUGCGAGAGAAUGGUGCCUCCCGACCAGCCAGGAGGAUUUCCAGGAGAUUCACUUCUUCAGUUUGUAUCCUGAAAACCAGAGGAACAUAUUUUUUUAUUAGCUGAAUCUAGGAUUUUUAUGCUGAAUAUAAGUUUUGAAUUUCCAGA
Chinchilla lanigera (long-tailed chinchilla) is the source of this 600-nucleotide long non-coding RNA. RefSeq lists it as uncharacterized. The transcript is spliced from 2 exons. The record is from RefSeq and is a predicted model, not a curated record. Lineage: Eukaryota; Metazoa; Chordata; Mammalia; Rodentia; Chinchillidae.